RNAcentral lists this long non-coding RNA (445 nucleotides) under Helianthus annuus (common sunflower). Its description in RNAcentral is "sRNA HanXRQr2_Chr13g0599521". Lineage: Eukaryota; Viridiplantae; Streptophyta; Magnoliopsida; Asterales; Asteraceae. The record is from RNAcentral.
AGUUCAAGAAACAAGAAUCACAAUCAAAAUCCUUCUCUCUCUCCAUCUAAUUCAUGGCUGAAAACAGCCCUUUUCCUUCUUGAUUUUCGAAAUUCAAAGCCCCAUUCUUGAAGGUCCAAGUCUUUCCAAGCAAGUUUCAAGCUAGUGUGAAGAUCCAUAGGUGGUUUGGAGGUGUUUCAAGCAAGAACCAAGCUCCAUAUCAUCACACUUUGUCAAGAAACCCAUCAAAAUCUUGUAGAUACUUGUACACGAGCAUGCAUGAUGAUAUGUGAUCUUAUAAAGGUACUUGAGUUCGGCUUCGGGAAUUAUGGCGUAUCUUGUGGUUGUUGAUGCAUGUUUUGUUACUUAAAUAUGUUGGACUAAUUUAAAACUUUCUGGGACAAAUGUAAUAAGAUCCGUAAGGAUCAAAGACAAUUUAACUAUGUCGUGGUUGUGUCAUAUUAUG